AUUUACGCUUCGCAAUGUGCGACACAGAAACAUUGUAGAUACAAUUACGUUUCACAAUGUACGGCAAAGUAACAUUGUAGUAUUCAAUUUACGCUUCGCAAUGUGCGACACAGAAACAUUGU
Molecule: non-coding RNA, 122 nt
Filed under: unclassified sequences
Description: Fusobacteriales-1 RNA
Rfam family: Fusobacteriales-1 RNA
Source: RNAcentral